GGGACAUGGGAAAGGAAGCAGAUGUCCAGGGGCUCAGAGCUGGUAAUUGCGAAAGCGAGUUCCCAGUCCCAUUGAUAACAGAAGGGACUGCCAGAGGGCUUCAGCGACCGCUUUCCCACCAAGUGCCUCUUGCAGUGCCACGGCAUUUCACAUUUCUUACGCACCGCAGCUUAUGAGGAGAGUAGGAGCUUCACCUCAAAGUCUUCAACAGGUGGUAUAUCUAUAUAAAGGGAAAGAAAGAGGAUUCUCAAGCUCAAGAAGCGUGGAGAGAUGGAGGGCAGCGUGACCUCAGUGAUUUCUACCACUUUAAUCAUGUGCCUAGCAUUUACAGGGUUGGAUGGAGCCAAGUAUUCUCCCUGUGACCGGCUUACGUUUGACAACGAGGUCUACAACCACUGCAUACCGCUGUACAGGCAAAGAAUGGCAACCAGCAACUACCAGCUGGAAUGCCCUUGGCCCAACACUAAAGGGUAUUAUGUCCAACUGGACGACUGCGUGAAGAAAGCGAUAACCCGCUCCUUCUGCGGAGAACCCUCUCUGAAGAACGAUAUCUUCCUGAAGCUCCAUCAAACCUAUUUCCCCCUCUGCUUCUUCAUGCAGGACCCAGGCUUGCACGUCCUGCUGCUGCUCACGCUGCCCUGCAUCAUCAUCACCUUCCUCAUGCCCUUCUUCUGCGUGUGCCUCAAAGACUUCUGACUGUACCUCAGUUACUUCUGGACAAACCGAGUCGACAGGAAACCCACCCUGUU
This 749-nucleotide long non-coding RNA is filed under the name Astyanax mexicanus (Mexican tetra). Its description in RNAcentral is "lncRNA (ENSAMXG00005019669.1)". Lineage: Eukaryota; Metazoa; Chordata; Actinopteri; Characiformes; Acestrorhamphidae. The record is from RNAcentral.